CUGUCCAAAGCUUUCGUACCUGUGAGCACAGGAAGAUGUUCCAAGAUGUUCUCCAGAAGGAAUCCAGCCUAUACCUGCAUCUUGAAGGCAGCUGCACUCAGCCAAGGGGAGGGCGAGGAGGGCCUGGUGGCGAGAUUGUGGCAGACACCAAAGGAUUUGACCAAAAAUCAGAAACUCCAAAUGGCUUGGAUUUCCCCAAGUAAAGCGACUUGGAAGAGGGAGGACAAAGAUGAGGAAAAUGGAAGGCUGGAUCAAGCUGCAGCAGCCCAUUGGGCAAGAGAUGGAUAAAGGGAAACUCUUUUAAACCCGAGGCACACCCCCAGAAGCUUGUGAGAGUUCCACCCCAGGCGUUUAUGGCCAGGAAGGUGGAGGGAGAAAGAAAGCAAGAUUUGAGAUCAAAAUGGAGAGAAACUCACAUUCUCCCCCAAAUCCCUCUAGAACCACAUUGGAAAUCCACCUCCAUUAAUUUAUGUCAAGGGAAAAGAGGAAAGUGUUGUCUGGAAAUAUCUAGUGCGGCGUCCAAAAAAAAAAAAAAAAAACCACUCCAAUUUUUGUGUCCCAGCUCUUGGAGAGGUUGAUUGGCUUUCAUGCCAAAUAUCCUUCUGAAUUUUCUUCGGGUCUUCAAGACCUGGUUACUUUUUUUCCAUUUAAUUCUUCAUAGCCUGAGUUCCUGAGAGGGCAGAGGGGGAAAAGGAGAGAUUGGCUUCAUGCCACAUAGCCUGCUUGGAUUUUCACUGCAGGUUUUCACAGCCUGUUUAAUUCUCCCAUUUAGUUCUCUCCUUUAGAUCUUCAGGCCUGGUUAAUUGCCUCCUUCGGGUCUUUAUGGCCUGUGUUCUCCAGAGGGCAGAAAGAGAAUUUGAAUGGUAAAUGGGAUAUUUGAAUUGAGCCUUGUAUCCCUGGUGAACUUUCACUGCAGGUCUUUAAGGCCUGUUUAAUUUUCCCACUGCCCUUCGGGUCUUCAUGACCUGAUUGUGUUUCCACUGCAGGUCCUUACCACAUGUGUACUUGAAAGUCAAGAGAAUAUUUGAGAGAGAAAAGUAGGGGCUUCUUGCCGUUUGACACGUUUGAAUUUCCAUGGUGGGUCUUCAAGGCUUGUUUAAUUCUCUCAUUUAAUUAUUGCCUUUCAGGUCUUCACGGCCUGCAAAUUCUCUCCUUUGGGUCUUCAAGGCCUGGGUCCUUAGAAAGCAAAGAGAACAUUUGAGGGGAAAGAGAUGGUCUUCAUGGCCUGUUUGGUCCUCCUAUUUAAUGAUGUCCUGUUGAGUCUUCACAGUCUGCUCAGUACCCCCAGUUAUUCCCUCCUGCAGGUCUUUACGGCCUGAGUAUUUAAAAACAAAAUGUGAUGGUUAGAAGGAGAGAGGGACUUCAGCUCCAUAUAUAUUGUUUGAAGUUCCACUUCCAGUCUUCAAGGCCUGUUUAAUUCUCUCAUUCAGGUCUUCAUGGCCUGUUGAAUUCUCCCUUUCGGGUCUUCACGGCCUGUGUACUCAAAAGUGGAGAAGAACAUUUGAGGGGGAAAAAGGAGAGAUUGGCUUCAUGCCAUUUAUCUUCUUGGAAAAUCCACUACAGGUCUUCAAGGCCAGUUUAAUUCUCCCAUUGAAUUCUUUCCUUUAGGUCUUCAUGGCCUGGGUACUAGAAACCCCAAGAACAGAGGAGAGGAAAAAGGAAAGAUUGACUUCAUGUCUUUCAUCCUGUUUGAACAUCUCCAAGGCCUGGUUAAAUCUCCCAUUGAAUGAAUUAUCCCCUGUUUGGGUCUUCAGGGCCUUUUUAGUUAAUCUCUUUAAUUCUCUGCUUCAGGUCUUCACGGCCUGUUGUGGUCAAAAGCAGAGGGAACAUUUGAGGGGGGAAAAAGGAGAAUUGGCUUCAUGCCAUUAUCGUGUCUGAAUUUCUUCACAGCCAGUUUACUUCUCCCAUUCAAUUCUCUCCUUCGGGUCUUCAGGGCUCUCAUUUAUUCCCCCCUGCAGGUCUUCAAGGCCUGUUUAAUCCUCUCCUUCAGGUCUUUAUGACCUGCAGAGAACAGAGAGAAUAUUUGAUGGGCAAAGGAGACAUUUGACUUAUAUGCCAUGUAUCCUCUAUGAAUUUCCACUGCAGGUCUUCAAGGCCUGUUUAAUUCUCCCACUGUCCUCCGGGUCUUCAUGGCCUGUUUGUCUUUCCACUGCAGGUCUUCACCGCCUGUGUACUCAAAGGCAAAGAGAGUAUUUGAGGGGGAAAAGGAGAGACGGGCUUCAUGCCCUUCAUGCCGUUGGAAUUUCUGUGGCAAGUCUUGAAGACUUGUUGAAUUCUGUCAUUUAAUUCUCUCCCUUCAGGUCUUCAUGGCCUGCAUAAUGCUCUCCAUCAGGUCUUCACGGGCUGUGUACCCAGAAGCAGAGAGACCAUCUGAGGUGGAAAAGGAGAGAUUGGCUUCAUGCCAUUGAUCCUGUCAGAAUUUCCACUGCAGGUCUUCAAGGCCUGUUGACUUCUCCUAUUCAGUUCUCCCCUUUAGGCCUUCAUGGCCUGUUAAAUCCUUUGUUUCAGGUCUUUAUGACCUGUGUUCUCCAGAGACCGGAGAGAGUAUUUGAAGGGCAAAGGAGAGAUUUGACUUAUAUGCCAUGUGCCCACUGCAGGUCUUCAAGGCCUGUUUAAUUCUCCCACCAUCCUCCAGGUCUUCACGGCCUGUUUAUAUUUCCACUGCAGGUGAUCACUGCCUGUGUACUCAAAAGCGAAGAGAAUAAUUGAAGGGGGAAAGGAGAGUGGGCUUCAUGUCCUUCAUUCCAUUGGAAUUUCUAUGGCAAGUCUUCAAGGCUUGUUGAAUUCUUUCAUUUAAGAAUCUCCCUUCAGGUCUUCAUGGCCUACAUAAUGCUCUCCUUCAGGUCUUCAUGGGCUGUGUAGUCAAAAGCAGAGAGAACAUUUGAGGGGGUAAAGGGGAGAUUGACUUCAGGCCAUUUACCCUCUCAGAAUUUCUACUCCAGGUCUUCAAGGCCUGUUUCAUUCCGCAAUUUAAUUCUCCCCUGCAGGUCUUCAUGGCUUGUUCAAUCACUUCCUUCAGGUCUUUAUGACCUGUGGUCUCCAGAGAACAGAGAGAAUAUUUGAGGAAAACAGGAGAGAUUAGCUUCAUGCAAAAUCUCUCAGAUCACCCUCUACCCCAGGCCUUAAUGGCCCUGGCUGUGAGAGAGGAAACAUUUGAGGUGGCAAUAGAGAAGAGCCUCGGGAUAAUUCGUCCCACUACACCUGGAAGAGUUUUCCCUUGAUCCUCUCUCCCUGGCUGCUCAGCCUUCUCAGCGGAAGACAAAGUCCCGCAGGUCCUCUGCAUCAGGGCCAGCGUGGAUGAAACAAGGCUUGAUGUGGGGGACACUCGGCUGCAGAAGAGGAGGAAUGGAAAAUGGGCCACUCUGGUUGGAGAAAAUCAGGCAGCUCUUAAAAGAAACCGUUGGGGGUCCAAGCCACUACUUCCGGUCUUUAUGGCCCAGACUAUUGGAAAGGGAAAAGAAAGUAUUUGCAAUGUGCAAAAACCUCUUUGUUUAAUCUUAACCCUGGAGCCUCCUGGGUUAAGCCCAGCCCAGGGAUAUAUCCUUUCCCAUCUCCCUCAAUUGUUUUCCACAAAAACAAACUGGAUUUGCAACUACCCAAUCAAUGUUC
Molecule: long non-coding RNA, 3609 nt
Organism: Tachyglossus aculeatus (Australian echidna)
Lineage: Eukaryota; Metazoa; Chordata; Mammalia; Monotremata; Tachyglossidae
Exons: 3
Source: RefSeq, a predicted model, not a curated record